GACGAACGCUGGCGGCGUGCCUAAUACAUGCAAGUAGAACGCUGAAACUUGGUGCUUGCACCGAGCGGAUGAGUUGCGAACGGGUGAGUAACGCGUAGGUAACCUGCCUGGUAGCGGGGGAUAACUAUUGGAAACGAUAGCUAAUACCGCAUAAGAGUAGAUGUUGCAUGACAUUUGCUUAAAAGGUGCAAUUGCACCACUACCAGAUGGACCUGCGUUGUAUUAGCUAGUUGGUGGGGUAACGGCUCACCAAGGCGACGAUACAUAGCCGACCUGAGAGGGUGAUCGGCCACACUGGGACUGAGACACGGCCCAGACUCCUACGGGAGGCAGCAGUAGGGAAUCUUCGGCAAUGGACGGAAGUCUGACCGAGCAACGCCGCGUGAGUGAAGAAGGUUCUCGGAUCGUAAAGCUCUGUUGUAAGAGAAGAACGAGUGUGAGAGUGGAAAGUUCACACUGUGACGGUAUCUUACCAGAAAGGGACGGCUAACUACGUG
This 497-nucleotide ribosomal RNA is filed under the name uncultured bacterium. RNAcentral describes it as "partial 16S ribosomal RNA". It matches the Rfam family "Bacterial small subunit ribosomal RNA", at positions 28 to 507 of the family's 1533-position model. The record is from RNAcentral.